UUCCUUGUAGCGCAAUGGAUAGCGCAUUGAACUUCUAAUACAAAGGUCGUGGGUUCGAAUCCUACCUGGGAUG
This 73-nucleotide transfer RNA is filed under the name Trichonephila inaurata madagascariensis. It matches the Rfam family "tRNA". Rfam says of the family: Transfer RNA (tRNA) molecules are approximately 80 nucleotides in length. Their secondary structure includes four short double-helical elements and three loops (D, anti-codon, and T loops). The record is from Rfam by way of RNAcentral. Lineage: Eukaryota; Metazoa; Arthropoda; Arachnida; Araneae; Nephilidae.